UGGGGAAUUUUGGACAAUGGGGGCAACCCUGAUCCAGCCAUCCCGCGUGUGCGAUGAAGGCCCUCGGGUUGUAAAGCACUUUUGGCAGGGAAGAAACAGCCUGGGAUAAUACCCCGGGCGACUGACGGUACCUGCAGAAUAAGCACCGGCUAACUACGUGCCAGCAGCCGCGGUAAUACGUAGGGUGCAAGCGUUAAUCGGAAUUACUGGGCGUAAAGCGUGCGCAGGCGGUUCGGAAAGAAAGGUGUGAAAUCCCAGGGCUUAACCUUGGAACUGCACUUUUAACUACCGAGCUAGAGUACGUCAGAGGGGGGUAGAAUUCCACGUGUAGCAGUGAAAUGCGUAGAGAUGUGGAGGAAUACCGAUGGCGAAGGCAGCCCCUGGGAUGAUACUGACGCUCAUGCACGAAAGCGUGGGGAGCAAACAGGAUUAGAUACCCUGGUAGUCCACGCCCUAAACGAUGUCAACUAGCUGUUGGGGUUUAUUAACCUUAGUAGCGCAGCUAACGCGUGAAGUUGACCGCCUGGGAGUACGGUCGCAAGAUUAAAACUCAAA
RNAcentral lists this ribosomal RNA (555 nucleotides) under uncultured bacterium. RNAcentral's name for it is "partial 16S ribosomal RNA". It matches the Rfam family "Bacterial small subunit ribosomal RNA", at positions 355 to 905 of the family's 1533-position model. The record is from RNAcentral.